CCUACGGGAGGCUGCAGUGAGGAAUAUUGGUCAAUGGACGGAAGUCUGAACCAGCAAUGCCGCGUGCAGGAAGAAGGCUCUAUGAGUUGUAAACUGCUUUUGUACAAGGGUAAAAAUGAAUACGUGUAUUCAGCUGAAAGUACUGUACGAAUAAGGAUCGGCUAACUCCGUGCCAGCAGCCGCGGUAAUACGGAGGAUCCAAGCGUUAUACGGAUUUAUUGGGUGUAAAGGGUGGGUAGGUGGAUUUAUAAGUUAGAGGUGAAAUGUCCGGGCUUAACUCGGGAACUGCCUCUAAUACUGUUGAUCGUGAGAGUAGAUGCGGUAGGCGGAAUGUAUGGUGUAGCGGUGAAAUGCUUAGAGAUCAGACAGAACACCGAUUGCGAAGGCAGCUUACCAAUCUAUAUCUGACGUUGAGGCACGAAAGCGUGGGGAGCAAACAGGAUUAGAUACCCGAGUAGUC
RNAcentral lists this ribosomal RNA (460 nucleotides) under uncultured bacterium. Its description in RNAcentral is "partial 16S ribosomal RNA". It matches the Rfam family "Bacterial small subunit ribosomal RNA", at positions 338 to 795 of the family's 1533-position model. The record is from RNAcentral.